Molecule: ribosomal RNA, 329 nt
Filed under: uncultured eukaryote
Lineage: Eukaryota
Description: partial 18S ribosomal RNA
Rfam family: Eukaryotic small subunit ribosomal RNA
Source: RNAcentral
CCCUUAGAUGUUCUGGGCCGCACGCGCGCUACACUGAUGCAUUCAACGAGUCUAAAACCUGGUCUGAGAGGGCUGGGUAAUCUUUUGAAAGUGCAUCGUGAUUGGGAUAGAUGAUUGCAAUUCUUCAUCUUCAACGAGGAAUGCCUAGUAAACGCAAGUCAUCAGCUUGCAUUGAUUACGUCCCUGCCCUUUGUACACACCGCCCGUCGCGCCUACCGAUUGAACGAUCCGAUGAAAACUGUGGAUUGAGAGUCUGAGUGGGUUCGCCUACCUCAACUUUCGAGAAGCGGUUUAAAUCUUAUCGUUUAGAGGAAGGAGAAGUCGUAACA